GAUGAACGCUGGCGGCGUGCCUAAUACAUGCAAGUCGAGCGAACGGACGAGAAGCUUGCUUUUCUGAUGUUAGCGGCGGACGGGUGAGUAACACGUGGAUAACCUACCUAUAAGACUGGGAUAACUUCGGGAAACCGGAGCUAAUACCGGAUAAUAUUUUGAACCGCAUGGUUCAAAAGUGAAAGACGGUCUUGCUGUCACUUAUAGAUGGAUCCGUGCUGCAUUAGCUAGUUGGUAAGGUAACGGCUUACCAAGGCAACGAUGCAUAGCCGACCUGAGAGGGUGAUCGGCCACACUGGAACUGAGACACGGUCCAGACUCCUACGGGAGGCAGCAGUAGGGAAUCUUCCGCAAUGGGCGAAAGCCUGACGGAGCAACGCCGCGUGAGUGAUGAAGGUCUUCGGAUCGUAAAACUCUGUUAUUAGGGAAGAACAUAUGUGUAAGUAACUGUGCACAUCUUGACGGUACCUAAUCAGAAAGCCACGGCUAACUACGUG
Molecule: ribosomal RNA, 497 nt
Filed under: uncultured bacterium
Lineage: Bacteria
Description: partial 16S ribosomal RNA
Rfam family: Bacterial small subunit ribosomal RNA
Source: RNAcentral